AGUUUGAUCCUGGCUCAGGAUGAACGCUAGCUACAGGCUUAACACAUGCAAGUCGAGGGGAAACGACAUCGAAAGCUUGCUUUUGAUGGGCGUCGACCGGCGCACGGGUGAGUAACGCGUAUCCAACCUGCCCACCACUUGGGGAUAACCUUGCGAAAGUAAGACUAAUACCCAAUGACGUCUCUAGAAGGCAUCUGAAAGAGAUUAAAGAUUUAUCGGUGAUGGAUGGGGAUGCGUCUGAUUAGCUUGUUGGCGGGGUAACGGCCCACCAAGGCUACGAUCAGUAGGGGUUCUGAGAGGAAGGUCCCCCACAUUGGAACUGAGACACGGUCCAAACUCCUACGGGAGGCAGCAGUGAGGAAUAUUGGUCAAUGGACGAGAGUCUGAACCAGCCAAGUAGCGUGCAGGAUGACGGCCCUAUGGGUUGUAAACUGCUUUUAUAAGGGAAUAAAGUGAGUCUCGUGAGACUUUUUGCAUGUACCUUAUGAAUAAGGACCGGCUAAUUCCGUGCCAGCAGCCGCGGUAAUACGGAAGGUCCGGGCGUUAUCCGGAUUUAUUGGGUUUAAAGGGAGCGUAGGCCGGAGAUUAAGCGUGUUGUGAAAUGUAGACGCUCAACGUCUGCACUGCAGCGCGAACUGGUUUCCUUGAGUACGCACAAAGUGGGCGGAAUUCGUGGUGUAGCGGUGAAAUGCUUAGAUAUCACGAAGAACUCCGAUUGCGAAGGCAGCUCACUGGAGCGCAACUGACGCUGAAGCUCGAAAGUGCGGGUAUCGAACAGGAUUAGAUACCCUGGUAGUCCGCACGGUAAACGAUGGAUGCCCGCUGUUGGUCUGAAUAGGUCAGCGGCCAAGCGAAAGCAUUAAGCAUCCCACCUGGGGAGUACGCCGGCAACGGUGAAACUCAAAGGAAUUGACGG
RNAcentral lists this ribosomal RNA (916 nucleotides) under uncultured bacterium. RNAcentral describes it as "bacterial SSU rRNA". It matches the Rfam family "Bacterial small subunit ribosomal RNA", at positions 10 to 916 of the family's 1533-position model. The record is from RNAcentral.